UACGUAGGUGGCAAGCGUUGUCCGGAGUUACUGGGCGUAAAGGGUGGGCAGGCGGUCGUGUCAGUUGGGUGUGAAAUCCCCCGGCUCAACCGGGAGGGGCCACUCGUGACUGCACGGCUGGAGGGCAGCAGAGGCGCGUGGAAUUCCGGGUGGAGUGGUGAAAUGCGUAGAGAUCCGGAGGAACACCAGAGGCGAAGGCGGCGCGCUGGGCUGCACCUGACGCUGAACCACGAAAGCCAGGGUAGCGAACGGG
Molecule: ribosomal RNA, 253 nt
Filed under: uncultured bacterium
Lineage: Bacteria
Description: partial 16S ribosomal RNA
Rfam family: Bacterial small subunit ribosomal RNA
Source: RNAcentral